UCCCUGACCUACUAACCCUCAGUGACGGG
This 29-nucleotide non-coding RNA is filed under the name Rattus norvegicus (Norway rat). Lineage: Eukaryota; Metazoa; Chordata; Mammalia; Rodentia; Muridae. The record is from RNAcentral.